Molecule: ribosomal RNA, 2580 nt
Filed under: Candidatus Portnoybacteria bacterium CG11_big_fil_rev_8_21_14_0_20_44_10
Lineage: Bacteria; Candidatus Portnoyibacteriota
Description: bacterial LSU rRNA
Rfam family: Bacterial large subunit ribosomal RNA
Source: RNAcentral
CCUGUCGCUCUCGAGCGACGGGAUGACGGGGUGCUUUUUGCAGAACGAGCCAACGAGUCCGAGUGCAUAGCUUGUCUAAGUCCUAUGGGACGGAGGCGAAGCGAAAGCGAGUGUUAAAAGCGCGUCGGCGAUUUAUUCGUCGUGCUGUGCGCUCGGGACCCGAAGCCAGAGCGAGCUUACCAUGAGCAGGGUGAACCCCGCGUAAAAGUGGGGGGAGGCCCGCACCCGUUGGUCGUACAACGCCAUGGGAUGACUUGUGGUAAGAAGUGAAAAGCUAAUCGAGCCUGGUAAUAGCUGGUUCUCCCCGAAAUAGCUUUAGGGCUAGCCUCGAUUGAUUGGCCGCGGAGGUAGAGCACUGAAUGGAUGCGGAUGGUUUUUCCUACCGUAUCCAAACAAACUCCGAAUGCCGCGGUUUUCAAAUCGGGAGUUAGACUACGGGGGCUAAGCUCCGUGGUCAAAAGGGAAACAGCCCAGAUCAUCAUCUAAGGUCCCUAAAUCGAACUAAGUGUGAAAGGAAGUGUCCUGACUUUGACAGGUAGGAGGUUGGCUUAGAAGCAGCCACCCUUUAAAGAGUGCGUAACAGCUCACUAUUCUAUUAUGCCAGGGCGCGCCGAAGAUGUAUGGGACUAAGUUCGAUACCGAAGAUAUGGGUCUGCCGUAAGCAGACAUACACUAAUUUAACUAAUAUAUACACGAAAUAAACGGACAGAUUUUAGUUUUAUUCGUUGGUAUUGGUUUUUUUAGUGUAUGCCCGCUGAAAGCAGGCGGUAGGGGAGCAUUCCCGUUGCAGUGAAGGUUCGAUGUGAGUCGGGCUGGAGCGGCGGGAAGCGAGAAUGUUGGCAUGAGUAACCACAAUUCCGGUGAGAGACCGGAACACCGCAAGCCUAAGGUUUCCUUGGCAAUGCUAGUCAACCAAGGGUUAGCCGGAUCUAAGCGUGCUCCGCGCCUAGUUUGUUAGUUAUACCCUCAUAACGAGUGAGUGAAAUUAUGAUCAACUAAUGAACUGCGCGCGAAGCACGCGAUGUGCAGCAGGUUAAUAUUCCUGCGCUUCCUUAUUUUUUCGAUGGAGUGACGGAGUUUAGUAGUCCGAGUGGUUUAUUGGAUUACCAUUCUUUGCCUAAGGAUGCUUAUCAGGUAAAUCCGGUAAGCGUUAAAUCCAAGGGUUGAGAAAAGGUUGGUUUCGACCAACCGAUUCGGAUGAGCAAGCUUCCGAGAAAAGCUUCUAGAGUUAAGGAUAAGGAACCCGUACCGAAAACCGACACAGGUGGGCGAGGCGAGUAGCCUAAGGUGAACGGGUGAUUCCUCGUUAAGGAACUCGGCAAAAUAGCGUUCGUAAGUUAGCGAUAAGGACUCCCCGCAGCAAUGCGGGGCGCAGCGAAAGACCCCUAGCGACUGUUUAUCAAAAACACAGCUCCCUGCUUAACUCGCAAGAGGAUGUAUAGGGGGUGACGCCUGACCAGUGCUGGAAUGUUAAUGAUGCCGGUUGCUGUUUGCUUUCGGGUGGAUGGCGGCUGAGUGUCUGAAGCACCAGUAAACGUCCGCGGUAACUAUAACCGUGUUAAUGUAGCGAAAUUCCUUGUCUGGUAAGUUCAGACCCGCAUGAAAGGCGUAACGACUGGGGGACUGUCUCAACGAGGAGCCCGGUGAAAAUGCAAUGUCGGUAAAGAUGCCGACUACCUGCGGCUAGACGAAAAGACCCCGGGAGCUUUACUAUAGAGUGGUAUUGAAUUAUGGGUUUAGAUGCGUAGCGUAGCCGGGAGGCUUUGAAGCCCCAUUUUCGGAUGGGGUGGAGCCGCCAAUGAAACACCGGCCUUCUGGGUCUAUAAUUCUAACUCCCCGCGUAAAAGCGGGGGAGACAGUGCCACUUGGGUAGUUUAAGUGGGGCGCUUGCCUCCUAAAGAGUAGCGGAGGCGCUUAUAAGGUUGGCUAGGGCCGGAUGGAAACCGGUCUGAUAGCGUAAAGGCAUAAGCCAGCUUUACUGCAAGACGUACAUGUCGCGCUCAUAAAUUUUAAUUUAUGACGGCGUAUUUUUUAAUUAAGAUGCGUUGAGUUGCGAAAGCAGAACUUAGUGAACCGACCGCUCUUCGUAGAAAGGCGGAAGAUCAUCAGACAAAAGCUACCCCGGGGAUAACAGGCUGGUCGUGCCCAAGAGUCCAUAUCGACGGCACGGUUCGGCACCUCGAUGUCGGCUCAUCACAUCCUGGAGGGGGAGCACCUUCCAAGGGUAUGGCUGUUCGCCAUUUAAAGUGGUACGUGAGCUGGGUUCAAACCGUCAACCAAAACUUGUUGCUGUUAAACAAGUUUGGCGGCUCCCGAUAGCAAUAUCGGGAUGCAAAAACUGACUCAUAUCGGUGAAAUCCUAGUAGACAUUCAACCUGUCGUAUGCUAGGAUAAUACCGAGGGAAGUUUUAAAUUAUUUUGCGAUGAAAAAGUUGUCUAGUGCUAGAUUAUCUUAUAUAGCCGGAUUCCUUGAUGGAGACGGAAGUGUGUAUAUCAAGCUGACAAAAAAUAAAACUUAUCGGUUUAAAUAUCAGGUAAGUUCUUAUAUUGUUUUUUAUCAAAGUAGUAUUAAUAUACAAU